RNAcentral lists this ribosomal RNA (305 nucleotides) under uncultured bacterium. Its description in RNAcentral is "bacterial SSU rRNA". It matches the Rfam family "Bacterial small subunit ribosomal RNA", at positions 333 to 655 of the family's 1533-position model. The record is from RNAcentral.
UUGCUCCUACGGGGGGCAGCAGUGGGGAAUAUUGGACAAUGGGGGAAACCCUUAUCCAGCGACGCCGCGUGAGGGAAGAAGGUUUUCGGAUUGUAAACCUCUGUCAGUGGGGACGAUAAUGACGGUACCCACGGAGGAAGCCACGGCUAACUACGUGCCAGCAGCCGCGGUAAUACGUAGGUGGCAAGCGUUGUCCGGAAUUACUGGGUGUGAAGGGAGCGUAGGCGGGAUGUCAAGUCAGAAGUGGAAAUUAUGGGCUCAACUCAUAACCUGCUUUUGAAACUGACAUUCUUGAUUGAAGUAGG